RNAcentral lists this ribosomal RNA (253 nucleotides) under uncultured bacterium. Its description in RNAcentral is "partial 16S ribosomal RNA". It matches the Rfam family "Bacterial small subunit ribosomal RNA", at positions 524 to 776 of the family's 1533-position model. The record is from RNAcentral.
UACAGAGGUCCCAAGCGUUGUUCGGAUUCACUGGGCGUAAAGGGUGCGUAGGCGGUCGGGUAAGUCUGAUGUGAAAUCUCACAGCUCAACUGUGAAACUGCAUUGGAUACUAUUCGGCUUGAGGUCUGGAGGGGGGACUGGAAUUCUCGGUGUAGCAGUGAAAUGCGUAGAUAUCGAGAGGAACACCAGUGGCGAAGGCGGUUAGCUGGGCAGUUGCUGACACUGAGGCGCGACAGCGUGGGGAGCAAACAGG